AGAGUUUGAUCCUGGCUCAGAACGAACGCUGGCGGCAGGCUUAACACAUGCAAGUCGAACGGGCGUAGCGAUACGUCAGUGGCAGACGGGUGAGUAACGCGUGGGAACAUACCCUUUGGUUCGGAAUAACUCAGGGAAACUUGAGCUAAUACCGGAUACGUCCCUGGACGAUAAGUCUGGGGGGAAAGAUUCAUCGCCGA
RNAcentral lists this ribosomal RNA (200 nucleotides) under uncultured bacterium. Its description in RNAcentral is "partial 16S ribosomal RNA". It matches the Rfam family "Bacterial small subunit ribosomal RNA", at positions 8 to 221 of the family's 1533-position model. The record is from RNAcentral.